AUUUCUGAACUAGUCUAGAAAAUAUAGGUCUCUGUCCAGAACAAGGUAUACAUUUUCCGAGCGUGUCUAGAACAGGGUAUACAUUUUCGAAUUCUAAGCAUGUCUAGAACAGGUGAUUUUUUUUCAAUAUUUCUGUUUAGAACAGGGUAUGUUUUGCAAUGUUUUCUGGUUAGAACAGGGUAUGAUUUGGAAAGUGCUGUCGGCACAGUUAUACCCGAAAAGAUAGUCAGUUACUUUCCCCUCCCC
This 246-nucleotide long non-coding RNA is filed under the name Mytilus galloprovincialis (Mediterranean mussel). Lineage: Eukaryota; Metazoa; Mollusca; Bivalvia; Mytilida; Mytilidae. The record is from RNAcentral.